GGCGAACGCUGGCGGCGUGCUUAACACAUGCAAGUCGAACGGUGAAGCGCCUUCCUUUUUGGUGGGUGUGGAUGAGUGGCGAACGGGUGAGUAACACGUGAGUAACCUGCCCCCUUCUUCUGGAUAACCGCAUGAAAGUGUUGCUAAUACGGGAUAUUCUGGGUCUGUCGCAUGAUGGGUCUGGGAAAGAUAUUGUUUCGGUGGGGGAUGGGCUCGCGGCCUAUCAGCUUGUUGGUGGGGUGAUGGCCUACCAAGGCGGUGACGGGUAGCCGGCCUGAGAGGGUGGACGGUCACACUGGGACUGCGACACGGCCCAGACUCCUACGGGAGGCAGCAGUGGGGAAUAUUGCACAAUGGGCGCAAGCCUGAUGCAGCGACGCCGCGUGAGGGAUGGAGGCCUUCGGGUUGUGAACCUCUUUCGCCAGUGAAGCAGGCCUGCCUCGUUUGUGGGUGGGUUGACGGUAGCUGGAUAAGAAGCGCCGGCUAACUACGUG
RNAcentral lists this ribosomal RNA (494 nucleotides) under uncultured bacterium. RNAcentral's name for it is "partial 16S ribosomal RNA". It matches the Rfam family "Bacterial small subunit ribosomal RNA", at positions 28 to 507 of the family's 1533-position model. The record is from RNAcentral.